This 292-nucleotide ribosomal RNA is filed under the name uncultured bacterium. Its description in RNAcentral is "partial 16S ribosomal RNA". It matches the Rfam family "Bacterial small subunit ribosomal RNA", at positions 505 to 796 of the family's 1533-position model. The record is from RNAcentral.
GUGUCAGCAGCCGCGGUAAUACAGAGGGUGCAAGCGUUGUUCGGAAUUAUUGGGCGUAAAGCGCGUGUAGGCGGCUUAGCAAGUCGGGCGUGAAAGCCCUCGGCUCAACCGAGGAAGUGCACCCGAAACUGCUGAGCUUGAGUGCCGGAGAGGAUGGCGGAAUUCCCCAAGUAGAGGUGAAAUUCGUAGAUAUGGGGAGGAACACCGGUGGCGAAGGCGGCCAUCUGGACGGUAACUGACGCUGAGACGCGAAAGCGUGGGGAGCAAACAGGAUUAGAAACCCCUGUAGUCC